AUACGGAGGAUGCGAGCGUUAUCCGGAUUUAUUGGGUUUAAAGGGUGCGUAGGCGGUCGGGUAAGCGUAGGGUGAAAGUCCUCUGCUCAACAGAGGAAGUGCCUUCCGAACUGUCCGACUGGAAUGCUCCUGCCGUGGGAGGAAUGUGUGGUGUAGCGGUGAAAUGCAUAGAGAUCACACAGAACACCGAUUGCGAAGGCAUCUCACGAAGGGGCUAUUGACGCUGAGGCACGAAAGCGUGGGGAUCAAACAGGAUUAGAUACCCUGGUAGUCCACGCAGUAAACGAUGAUGACUAACCGCCGGGCGGAGUGACGUCCGGCAGCCAAGCGAAAGCGAUAAGUCAUCCACCUGGGGAGUACGGCCGCAAGGCUGAAACUCAAAUGAAUUGACGGGG
This 395-nucleotide ribosomal RNA is filed under the name uncultured bacterium. RNAcentral describes it as "partial 16S ribosomal RNA". It matches the Rfam family "Bacterial small subunit ribosomal RNA", at positions 523 to 918 of the family's 1533-position model. The record is from RNAcentral.